GAGAGUGUGAACCUGGGUGUCGUUACUUCUGUUGACCGCAAACGGACCGCAAAAGGACUGCAAAAAGACUGUAAAAGGAUUGCAAAGGAACCACAAACCAUCUGAAUGAGGGGAAAGGUCAUCGAGUGAGAGGUCUUCAGCGGGGAAUCAGCUCAUGAGACGUCACAGCCUCUCUUCUUUGUGCUCCGCCUUCUUUCUGCGCAUGCAGGGAUGGGAACAAACAGCCCAAAUAAUUAGUUCCUGGGGGGUGCAUUAGUGCCUGCGCCUUGUCAUGGUAAAGCAUUGUGGAGUGUGUUUGUACCUAAUGAAAGGAAGGUAAGCAGCUCCUCCUGCACACUCAGCACUCUAAUCACCCUCCACAUGGACAUUUUCUGCAAUUGACCAAAG
This is a long non-coding RNA of Nerophis ophidion (straightnose pipefish), 387 nucleotides long. RefSeq lists it as uncharacterized. NCBI's taxonomy places the organism in Eukaryota, Metazoa, Chordata, Actinopteri, Syngnathiformes, Syngnathidae. The record is from RefSeq and is a predicted model, not a curated record. The transcript is spliced from 3 exons.